RNAcentral lists this transfer RNA (82 nucleotides) under Felis catus (domestic cat). It matches the Rfam family "tRNA". From Rfam's summary of the family: Transfer RNA (tRNA) molecules are approximately 80 nucleotides in length. Lineage: Eukaryota; Metazoa; Chordata; Mammalia; Carnivora; Felidae. The record is from Rfam by way of RNAcentral.
GCCCGGGUGGCUCAGUUGCUUGAGUGUCUGACUUAAGCUCAGGUCAUGAUCUGGUCUGUGGGUUCAAGUCCCACGUUGGGCU